This 433-nucleotide ribosomal RNA is filed under the name uncultured bacterium. RNAcentral's name for it is "partial 16S ribosomal RNA". It matches the Rfam family "Bacterial small subunit ribosomal RNA", at positions 29 to 507 of the family's 1533-position model. The record is from RNAcentral.
AACGAACGCUGGCGGCAUGCCUAACACAUGCAAGUCGAACGAGACCUUCGGGUCUAGUGGCGCACGGGUGCGUAACGCGUGGGAACCUGCCCUUAGGUUCGGAAUAACUCCCCGAAAGGGGUGCUAAUACCGGAUAAUGUCUUCGGACCAAAGAUUUAUCGACUUUGGAUGGGCCCGCGUUGUAUUAGCUAGUUGGUAGGGUAAAAGCCUACCAAGGCGACGAUCCAUAGCUGGUCUGAGAGGAUGAUCAGCCACACUGGGACUGAGACACGGCCCAGACUCCUACGGGAGGCAGCAGUGGGGAAUAUUGGACAAUGGGCGAAAGCCUGAUCCAGCAAUGCCGCGUGAGUGAUGAAGGCCUUAGGGUUGUAAAGCUCUUUUACCCGGGAUGAUAAUGACAGUACCGGGAGAAUAAGCUCCGGCUAACUCCGUG